CAUAUCAAUAAGCGGAGGAAAAGAAACCAACAGGGAUUGCCUUAGUAACGGCGAGUGAAGCGGCAAUAGCUCAAAUUUGAAAGCUGGCCCCUUCGGGGUCCGCGUUGUAAUUUGUAGAGGAUGAUUCGGCGAGGGCUCCCGUCUAAGUCCCUUGGAACAGGGCGUCAUAGAGGGUGAGAAUCCCGUAUGUGAUGGGCUGCCUUAGCCAUGUGAAUCUCCUUCGACGAGUCGAGUUGUUUGGGAAUGCAGCUCUAAAUGGGAGGUAAAUUUCUUCUAAAGCUAAAUACCGGCCAGAGACCGAUAGCGCACAAGUAGAGUGAUCGAAAGAUGAAAAGCACUUUGGAAAGAGAGUUAAAAAGUACGUGAAAUUGUUGAAAGGGAAGCGCUUGCAGCCAGACUUGUCCGCAGUUGCUCAGCUUGUCUCCUGACAGGCGUACUCUUCUGCGGCCAGGCCAGCAUCAGUUCGGGCGGUCGGAUAAAGGCCCGGGGAAUGUAGCUCCUCUCGGGGAGUGUUAUAGCCCCGGGUGCAAUGCGGCCAGCCUGGACUGAGGAUCUCGCUUCGGCUAGGAUGCUGGCGUAAUGGCUGUAAGCGGCCCGUCUUGAAACACGGACCAAGGAGUCUAACAUCUAUGCGAGUGUUUGGGUGUCAAACCCAUGCGCGUAAUGAAAGUGAACGGAGGUGGGAACCCUCACGGGUGCACCAUCGACCGAUCCUGAUGUCUUCGGAUGGAUUUGAGUAAGAGCAUAGCUGUUGGGACCCGAAAGAUGGUGAACUAUGCCUGAAUAGGGUGAAGCCAGAGGAAACUCUGGUGGAGGCUCGCAGCGGUUCUGACGUGCAAAUCGAUCGUCAAAUUUGGGUAUAGGGGCGAAAGACUAAUCGAACCAUCUAGUAGCU
Molecule: ribosomal RNA, 895 nt
Filed under: Neofusicoccum parviconidium
Lineage: Eukaryota; Fungi; Ascomycota; Dothideomycetes; Botryosphaeriales; Botryosphaeriaceae
Description: partial 28S large subunit ribosomal RNA
Rfam family: Eukaryotic large subunit ribosomal RNA
Source: RNAcentral